Molecule: long non-coding RNA, 1422 nt
Filed under: Calidris pugnax (ruff)
Lineage: Eukaryota; Metazoa; Chordata; Aves; Charadriiformes; Scolopacidae
Description: lncRNA (ENSCPUG00000019889.1)
Source: RNAcentral
AUGGGCAGUAACUUAACAGCCACCCCUCAGGCGCAGCACAAGAUGGAGGGUGGAUUCCUUCUGGAUGUUGUAGUCAGACAGGGAGCGCCCAUCUUCCAGCUGCUUCUCAGCGAAGAUCAGCCUCUGCUGGUCUGGGGGGAUGCCCUCCUUGUCCUGGAUCUGGGCCUUCACAUUCUCAAUGGUGUCACUGGGCUCGACCUCGAGGGUGAUGGUCUUGCCAGUCAGGGUCUUCACACAGAUCUGCAUACCACCCCUCAGGCGCAGCACAAGAUGGAGGGUGGAUUCCUUCUGGAUGUUGUAGUCAGACAGGGAGCGCCCAUCUUCCAGCUGCUUCUCAGCGAAGAUCAGCCUCUGCUGGUCUGGGGGGAUGCCCUCCUUGUCCUGGAUCUGGGCCUUCACAUUCUCAAUGGUGUCACUGGGCUCGACCUCGAGGGUGAUGGUCUUGCCAGUCAGGGUCUUCACACAGAUCUGCAUACCACCCCUCAGGCGCAGCACAAGAUGGAGGGUGGAUUCCUUCUGGAUGUUGUAGUCAGACAGGGAGCGCCCAUCUUCCAGCUGCUUCUCAGCGAAGAUCAGCCUCUGCUGGUCUGGGGGGAUGCCCUCCUUGUCCUGGAUCUUGGCCUUCACAUUCUCAAUGGUGUCACUUGGUUCCACCUCGAGGGUGAUGGUCUUGCCAGUCAGGGUCUUCACAAAGAUCUGCAUACCACCCCUCAGGCGCAGCACAAGAUGCAGAGUGGACUCCUUCUGGAUGUUGUAGUCAGACAGGGUGCGCCCGUCUUCCAGCUGCUUCCCAGCAAAGAUCAACCCCUGCUGGUCAGGGGGGAUGCCCUCCUUGUCCUGGAUCUUGGCCUUCACAUUCUCAAUAGUAUCGCUGGGCUCAACCUCAAGGGUGAUGGUCUUGCCAGUCAGGGUCUUCACAAAGAUCUGCAUACCACCCCUCAGGCGCAGCACAAGAUGCAGAGUGGAUUCCUUCUGGAUGUUGUAGUCAGACAGGGUGCGCCCAUCUUCCAGCUGCUUCCCAGCGAAGAUCAGCCUCUGCUGGUCAGGGGGGAUGCCUUCCUUAUCCUGGAUCUUGGCCUUCACGUUCUCAAUGGUGUCACUGGGCUCGACCUCGAGGGUGAUGGUCUUGCCAGUCAGGGUCUUCACAAAGAUCUGCAUACCGCCUCUGAGACGCAGCACAAGAUGGAGGGUGGAUUCCUUCUGGAUGUUGUAGUCAGACAGGGUGCGCCCGUCUUCCAGCUGCUUGCCAGCGAAGAUCAGCCUCUGCUGGUCUGGGGGGAUACCCUCCUUGUCCUGGAUCUUGGCCUUCACGUUCUCAAUAGUAUCACUGGGCUCGACCUCGAGGGUGAUGGUCUUGCCAGUCAGGGUCUUCACAAAGAUCUGCAUGUUGAACUACAAAACAUACAGAAAAUUUACGUUUAG